Molecule: ribosomal RNA, 497 nt
Filed under: uncultured bacterium
Lineage: Bacteria
Description: partial 16S ribosomal RNA
Rfam family: Bacterial small subunit ribosomal RNA
Source: RNAcentral
GAUGAACGCUGGCGGCGUGCCUAAUACAUGCAAGUCGAGCGAACAGAUAAGGAGCUUGCUCCUUUGACGUUAGCGGCGGACGGGUGAGUUACACGUGGAUAACCUACCUAUAAGACUGGGAUAACUUCGGGAAACCGGAGCUAAUACCGGAUAACAUAUUGAACCGCAUGGUUCAAUAGUGAAAGGCGGCUUUGCUGUCACUUAUAGAUGGAUCCGCGCCGUAUUAGCUAGUUGGUAAGGUAACGGCUUACCAAGGCAACGAUACGUAGCCGACCUGAGAGGGUGAUCGGCCACACUGGAACUGAGACACGGUCCAGACUCCUACGGGAGGCAGCAGUAGGGAAUCUUCCGCAAUGGGCGAAAGCCUGACGGAGCAACGCCGCGUGAGUGAUGAAGGUCUUCGGAUCGUAAAACUCUGUUAUCAGGGAAGAACAAAUGUGUAAGUAACUGUGCACAUCUUGACGGUACCUGAUCAGAAAGCCACGGCUAACUACGUA